Molecule: ribosomal RNA, 263 nt
Filed under: Escherichia coli
Lineage: Bacteria; Pseudomonadati; Pseudomonadota; Gammaproteobacteria; Enterobacterales; Enterobacteriaceae
Description: partial 23S ribosomal RNA
Rfam family: Bacterial large subunit ribosomal RNA
Source: RNAcentral
GAAUGCUGACAUAAGUAACGAUAAAGCGGGUGAAAAGCCCGCUCGCCGGAAGACCAAGGGUUCCUGUCCAACGUUAAUCGGGGCAGGGUGAGUCGACCCCUAAGGCGAGGCCGAAAGGCGUAGUCGAUGGGAAACAGGUUAAUAUUCCUGUACUUGGUGUUACUGCGAAGGGGGGACGGAGAAGGCUAUGUUGGCCGGGCGACGGUUGUCCCGGUUUAAGCGUGUAGGCUGGUUUUCCAGGCAAAUCCGGAAAAUCAAGGCUG